GAUCCUGGCUCAGGAUGAACGCUGGCGGCGUGCUUAACACAUGCAAGUCGAACGGGAAACUUUUCAUUGAAGCUUCGGCAGAUUUGGUCUGUUUCUAGUGGCGGACGGGUGAGUAACGCGUGGGUAACCUGCCUUAUACAGGGGGAUAACAACCAGAAAUGGUUGCUAAUACCGCAUAAGCGCACAGGACCGCAUGGUCCGGUGUGAAAAACUCCGGUGGUAUAAGAUGGACCCGCGUUGGAUUAGCUGGUUGG
Molecule: ribosomal RNA, 254 nt
Filed under: uncultured bacterium
Lineage: Bacteria
Description: partial 16S ribosomal RNA
Rfam family: Bacterial small subunit ribosomal RNA
Source: RNAcentral